RNAcentral lists this ribosomal RNA (253 nucleotides) under uncultured bacterium. Its description in RNAcentral is "partial 16S ribosomal RNA". It matches the Rfam family "Bacterial small subunit ribosomal RNA", at positions 524 to 776 of the family's 1533-position model. The record is from RNAcentral.
UACGGGGGGGGCAAGCGUUGUUCGGAAUUACUGGGCGUAAAGGGCUCGUAGGCGGCCAACUAAGUCAGACGUGAAAUCCCUCGGCUUAACCGGGGAACUGCAUCUGAUACUGGAUGGCUUGAGUUCGGGAGAGGGAUGCGGAAUUCCAGGUGUAGCGGUGAAAUGCGUAGAUAUCUGGAGGAACACCGGUGGCGAAGGCGGCAUCCUGGACCGACACUGACGCUGAGGAGCGAAAGCCAGGAGAGCAAACGGG